Molecule: ribosomal RNA, 253 nt
Filed under: uncultured bacterium
Lineage: Bacteria
Description: partial 16S ribosomal RNA
Rfam family: Bacterial small subunit ribosomal RNA
Source: RNAcentral
UACGAAGGGGGCUAGCGUUGUUCGGAUUUACUGGGCGUAAAGCGCGCGUAGGCGGAUCGAUCAGUCAGGGGUGAAAUCCCGGGGCUCAACCCCGGAACUGCCUUUGAUACUGUCGAUCUGGAGUAUGGAAGAGGUGAGUGGAAUUCCGAGUGUAGAGGUGAAAUUCGUAGAUAUUCGGAGGAACACCAGUGGCGAAGGCGGCUCACUGGUCCAUUACUGACGCUGAGGUGCGAAAGCGUGGGGAGCGAACAGG